RNAcentral lists this ribosomal RNA (466 nucleotides) under uncultured bacterium. Its description in RNAcentral is "partial 16S ribosomal RNA". It matches the Rfam family "Bacterial small subunit ribosomal RNA", at positions 28 to 507 of the family's 1533-position model. The record is from RNAcentral.
GAUGAACGCUGGCGGCGUGCUUAACACAUGCAAGUCGAACGGUGAAGCCAAGCUUGCUUGGUGGAUCAGUGGCGAACGGGUGAGUAACACGUGAGCAACCUGCCCUGGACUCUGGGAUAAGCGCUGGAAACGGCGUCUAAUACUGGAUAUGAGCCUCUUCUGCAUGGUGGGGGUUGGAAAGAUUUUUUGGUCUGGGAUGUGCUCGCGGCCUAUCAGCUUGUUGGUGAGGUAAUGGCUCACCAAGGCGUCGACGGGUAGCCGGCCUGAGAGGGUGACCGGCCACACUGGGACUGAGACACGGCCCAGACUCCUACGGGAGGCAGCAGUGGGGAAUAUUGCACAAUGGGCGAAAGCCUGAUGCAGCAACGCCGCGUGAGGGAUGACGGCCUUCGGGUUGUAAACCUCUUUUAGCAGGGAAGAAGCGAAAGUGACGGUACCUGCAGAAAAAGCGCCGGCUAACUACGUG